AAACGACUGUGUUUUGGAUAUAAUGUUGGGUUAGAACGCUUCAUCUUCACAAGAAGACUCUUUCCCCUCUUCUUCGUUGACGGUGCCGAUUAUCUCUUCACCAUCACCGCCAUUCCAUCCUCCGAUUACAGCAAUAGCCUUGUGUCACUCUAUUCAUCCUCGUUACUUCAACCUCAACCCUUAGACGUAGUCUCAUCACUUCUGUCUUCUUCUUCUUCUUCCGAUCGUCACCGUGCCAUGGAAGUCGGGAUAACACUAUCUUCUCACACCAGUUUCACAAAUGGCGGUCCUAUCAUCACCUCUCCUUCUUCUUAUUCAAUUGGUCAUGUUUGGAGUGUUCAUGAAAGACGCAGAUUGAAGAUGAUGUUCUUGCGUUUGUUGAUGCAUAGAGAAAUUGCAAAUGAACAUGGAUGA
Vicia faba (fava bean) is the source of this 414-nucleotide non-coding RNA. The record is from the annotation of a GenBank genome assembly. Lineage: Eukaryota; Viridiplantae; Streptophyta; Magnoliopsida; Fabales; Fabaceae.